This 1323-nucleotide ribosomal RNA is filed under the name metagenome. RNAcentral's name for it is "bacterial SSU rRNA". It matches the Rfam family "Bacterial small subunit ribosomal RNA", at positions 149 to 1498 of the family's 1533-position model. The record is from RNAcentral.
GUUGGAAACGACUGCUAAUACCGCAUAAGCCCACGGCUCGGCAUCGAGCAGGGAAAAGGAGCAAUCCGCUUUGAGAUGGCCUCGCGUCCGAUUAGCUAGUUGGUGAGGUAACGGCCCACCAAGGCGACGAUCGGUAGCCGGACUGAGAGGUUGAACGGCCACAUUGGGACUGAGACACGGCCCAGACUCCUACGGGAGGCAGCAGUGGGGAAUAUUGCACAAUGGGGGAAACCCUGAUGCAGCGACGCCGCGUGGAGGAAGAAGGUCUUCGGAUUGUAAACUCCUGUUGUUGAGGAAGAUAAUGACGGUACUCAACAAGGAAGUGACGGCUAACUACGUGCCAGCAGCCGCGGUAAAACGUAGGUCACAAGCGUUGUCCGGAAUUACUGGGUGUAAAGGGAGCGCAGGCGGGAAGACAAGAUGGAAGUGAAAUCCAUGGGCUCAACCCAUGAACUGCUUUCAAAACUGUUUUUCUUGAGUAGUGCAGAGGUAGGCGGAAUUCCCGGUGUAGCGGUGGAAUGCGUAGAUAUCGGGAGGAACACCAGUGGCGAAGGCGGCCUACUGGGCACCAACUGACGCAGAGGCUCGAAAGCGUGGGUAGCAAACAGGAUUAGAUACCCUGGUAGUCCACACCGUAAACGAUGAUUACUAGGUGUUGGAGGAUUGACCCCUUCAGUGCCGCAGUUAACACAAUAAGUAAUCCACCUGGGGAGUACGACCGCAAGGUUGAAACUCAAAGGAAUUGACGGGGGCCCGCACAAGCAGUGGAGUAUGUGGUUUAAUUCGACGCAACGCGAAGAACCUUACCAAGUCUUGACAUCCUGCGGCGGUGCUGGAAACAGUACUUUCCUUCGGGACGCAGAGACAGGUGGUGCAUGGUUGUCGUCAGCUCGUGUCGUGAGAUGUUGGGUUAAGUCCCGCAACGAGCGCAACCCUUAUGGUCAGUUACUACGCAAGAGGACUCUGGCCAGACUGCCGUUGACAAAACGGAGGAAGGUGGGGAUGACGUCAAAUCAUCAUGCCCUUUAUGACUUGGGCUACACACGUACUACAAUGGCGUUAAACAAAGAGAAGCAAGACCGCGAGGUGGAGCAAAACUCAGAAACAACGUCCCAGUUCGGACUGCAGGCUGCAACUCGCCUGCACGAAGUCGGAAUUGCUAGUAAUCGCAGAUCAGCAUGCUGCGGUGAAUACGUUCCCGGGCCUUGUACACACCGCCCGUCACACCAUGAGAGCCGGGGGGACCCGAAGUCGGUAGUCUAACCGCAAGGAGGACGCCGCCGAAGGUAAAACUGGUGAUUGGGGUGAAGUCGUAACAAGGUA